GCUCACGUGGAGAAAUUGGUAGACUCGCCAUCUUGAGGGGGUGGUGUCGCAAGACGUGCAGGUUCGAAUCCCGUCGUGAGCA
This 82-nucleotide transfer RNA is filed under the name Flavobacteriaceae bacterium. RNAcentral's name for it is "tRNA-Leu". It matches the Rfam family "tRNA". Rfam says of the family: Transfer RNA (tRNA) molecules are approximately 80 nucleotides in length. Their secondary structure includes four short double-helical elements and three loops (D, anti-codon, and T loops). Lineage: Bacteria; Pseudomonadati; Bacteroidota; Flavobacteriia; Flavobacteriales; Flavobacteriaceae. The record is from RNAcentral.